RNAcentral lists this microRNA (21 nucleotides) under Hyalella azteca. Its description in RNAcentral is "miR-3662". Lineage: Eukaryota; Metazoa; Arthropoda; Malacostraca; Amphipoda; Hyalellidae. The record is from RNAcentral.
AAACUGAUGAGUAGUGACUGA